AAAGGAAAGGUCUUGGAUUUUUGAAAAAGCUACGCUAGGGAUAACAGGCUAAUUGCGCCAGAGAGUACAAAUUGAGUGCGCAGUUUGGCACCUCGAUGUCGGCUUAGCUCAUCCACAUGAAUGCAGAAAUCAUGAAGGGUACGACUGUUCGUCGAUUAAAGAGCUACACGAGCUGGGUUAAAUACGUCGUGAGACAGUAUGGUUUCUAUCUUCUAG
This 216-nucleotide ribosomal RNA is filed under the name Thalassionema nitzschioides. RNAcentral describes it as "partial Bacterial large subunit ribosomal RNA". It matches the Rfam family "Bacterial large subunit ribosomal RNA", at positions 2432 to 2646 of the family's 2925-position model. The record is from RNAcentral. Lineage: Eukaryota; Bacillariophyta; Fragilariophyceae; Thalassionematales; Thalassionemataceae.